This 253-nucleotide ribosomal RNA is filed under the name uncultured bacterium. RNAcentral describes it as "partial 16S ribosomal RNA". It matches the Rfam family "Bacterial small subunit ribosomal RNA", at positions 524 to 776 of the family's 1533-position model. The record is from RNAcentral.
UACGGAGGGGCCUAGCGUUGUUCGGAAUUACUGGGCGUAAAGCGCACGUAGGUGGAGUCGUAAGUCAGGUGUGAAAUCCCCGGGCUCAACCUGGGAACUGCAUUCGAGACUGCAUUGCUGGAGUACGGAAGAGGAGGGCGGAAUUCCCGGUGUAGAGGUGAAAUGCGUAGAUAUCGGGAGGAACAUCAGUGGCGAAGGCGGCCCGCUGGUCCAGUACUGACGCUCAAGUGCAAAAGCGUGGGGAGCAAACAGG